GAUGAACGCUAGCGGCAGGCUUAAUACAUGCAAGUCGUACGGGAUCCGAGAUAGCAAUAUCUUGGUGAGAGUGGCGCACGGGUGCGUAACACGUAUGCAACCUACCUUUAACCGGGACACAACCUUGAGAAAUUGAGGCUAAUAUCCCAUAACACUGCGAAAUGGCAUCAUUUUGCAGUUAAAACUCCGGUGGUUAUUGAUGGGCAUGCGCGACAUUAGCUAGUUGGUGAGGUAACGGCCCACCAAGGCUACGAUGUCUAGGGGUUCUGAGAGGAUUAUCCCCCACACUGGUACUGAGACACGGACCAGACUCCUACGGGAGGCAGCAGUAAGGAAUAUUGGUCAAAUGGGGCGCAAGCCUGAACCAGCCAUGCCGCGUGAAGGAUGACGGCCCUAUGGGUUGUAAACUUCUUUUAUAAGGGAAUAAAGUGAGGGACGUGUCCCUUUUGUAUGUACCUUAUGAAUAAGGAUCGGCUAACUCCGUGCCAGCAGCCGCGG
This 498-nucleotide ribosomal RNA is filed under the name uncultured bacterium. RNAcentral describes it as "bacterial SSU rRNA". It matches the Rfam family "Bacterial small subunit ribosomal RNA", at positions 28 to 520 of the family's 1533-position model. The record is from RNAcentral.